This 472-nucleotide ribosomal RNA is filed under the name uncultured bacterium. Its description in RNAcentral is "bacterial SSU rRNA". It matches the Rfam family "Bacterial small subunit ribosomal RNA", at positions 335 to 799 of the family's 1533-position model. The record is from RNAcentral.
ACUCUACGGGAGGCAGCAGUGGGGAAUAUUGCACAAUGGGGGAAACCCUGAUGCAGCCAUGCCGCGUGUGUGAAGAAGGCCUUCGGGUUGUAAAGCACUUUCAGUAGGGAGGAAGGUAGUGUAGUUAACACCUGCAUUAUUUGACGUUACCUACAGAAGAAGCACCGGCUAACUCCGUGCCAGCAGCCGCGGUAAUACGGAGGGUGCGAGCGUUAAUCGGAAUUACUGGGCGUAAAGCGCAUGCAGGCGGCCUGUUAAGUCAGAUGUGAAAGCCCGGGGCUUAACCUCGGAAUUGCAUUUGAAACUGGCAGGCUAGAGUCUUGUAGAGGGGGGUAGAAUUUCAGGUGUAGCGGUGAAAUGCGUAGAGAUCUGAAGGAAUACCAGUGGCGAAGGCGGCCCCCUGGACAAAGACUGACGCUCAGAUGCGAAAGCGUGGGGAGCAAACAGGAUUAGAUACCCUGGUAGGAUAGCG